RNAcentral lists this ribosomal RNA (497 nucleotides) under uncultured bacterium. RNAcentral describes it as "partial 16S ribosomal RNA". It matches the Rfam family "Bacterial small subunit ribosomal RNA", at positions 28 to 507 of the family's 1533-position model. The record is from RNAcentral.
GAUGAACGCUGGCGGCGUGCCUAAUACAUGCAAGUCGAGCGAACAGACGAGGAGCUUGCUCCUUUGACGUUAGCGGCGGACGGGUGAGUAACACGUGGGUAACCUACCUAUAAGACUGGGAUAACUUCGGGAAACCGGAGCUAAUACCGGAUAACAUGUUGAACCGCAUGGUUCAACAGUGAAAGACGGUCUUGCUGUCACUUAUAGAUGGAUCCGCGCCGCAUUAGCUAGUUGGUAAGGUAACGGCUUACCAAGGCAACGAUGCGUAGCCGACCUGAGAGGGUGAUCGGCCACACUGGAACUGAGACACGGUCCAGACUCCUACGGGAGGCAGCAGUAGGGAAUCUUCCGCAAUGGGCGAAAGCCUGACGGAGCAACGCCGCGUGAGUGAAGAAGGUCUUCGGAUCGUAAAACUCUGUUAUUAGGGAAGAACAAAUGUGUAAGUAACUAUGCACGUCUUGACGGUACCUAAUCAGAAAGCCACGGCUAACUACGUG